This 77-nucleotide transfer RNA is filed under the name Rickettsiales bacterium Ac37b. RNAcentral describes it as "tRNA-Arg (TCT) (tRNA-Arg-TCT-1-1)". It matches the Rfam family "tRNA". Rfam says of the family: Transfer RNA (tRNA) molecules are approximately 80 nucleotides in length. The record is from RNAcentral. Lineage: Bacteria; Pseudomonadati; Pseudomonadota; Alphaproteobacteria; Rickettsiales. RNAcentral also lists the same sequence under 1 other name.
GCGCCCUUAGCUCAGCAGGAUAGAGCAACAGAUUUCUAAUCUGUGGGUCAGGAGUUCGAAUCUCUUAGGGCGCGCCA